RNAcentral lists this unclassified non-coding RNA (343 nucleotides) under Hevea brasiliensis (rubber tree). Lineage: Eukaryota; Viridiplantae; Streptophyta; Magnoliopsida; Malpighiales; Euphorbiaceae. The record is from RNAcentral.
GGGCAAACCUAUGAGAGUCAGGAGUUCUUUCCCACAUUAAGCAAGGCUGAACAUGCUGCUGCAAGAGCUGCAUUGAUGUCACUGGCACCGAAUGGAGUUGAAGAGGAUGAAUCUGCUUACAAGAACCUUUUGCAAGAACUGGCUCAAAAAGAAUGUUAUCGAUUGCCAACUUAUAGUACAAUCAAAUCUGGUGAAGCUCAUAGACCAACUUUUGUUUCUACCGUAGAGGUAGAAGGAGAGUCGUUUACAGGGCAGGAAGCGAGAACUAAGAAGCAGGCGGAGUUGAGUGCAGCAAAGGUUGCUUACACAGCUUUAAAACAGCGCAGAAGAAAGGAAAAGGAAG